CGCGUAGGUAAUCUACCCUUAUAUUUGGGAUAACAUUGGGAAACUGGUGCUAAUACCGAAUGGUCUUCAUUGCUUUGGGGCGAUGGAGUAAAGGUGGCCUCUUCAUGAAAGCUACCGUGUAGGGAUGAGCCUGCGUACCAUUAGCUAGUAGGUGGGGUAAUGGCCCACCUAGGCUACGAUGGUUAGCGGGUCUGAGAGGAUGAUCCGCCACACUGGAACUGGAACACGGACCAG
Molecule: ribosomal RNA, 234 nt
Filed under: uncultured bacterium
Lineage: Bacteria
Description: partial 16S ribosomal RNA
Rfam family: Bacterial small subunit ribosomal RNA
Source: RNAcentral